GUGAAAUUGUUGAAAGGGAAGCGCUUGCAACCAGACUUGCACGCAGUUGAUCAUCCGGUGUUCUCACCGGGGCACUCUGCUGCGUUCAGGCCAGCAUCGGUUUUGGUGGUUGGAUAAAGGCCUUGGGAAUGUGGCUUCCUUCGGGGAGUGUUAUAGCCCUCGGUGCAAUGCAGCCUACCGGGACCGAGGACCGCGCUUCGGCUAGGAUGCUGGCGUAAUGGUUGUAAGCGACCCGUCUUGAAACACGGACCAAGGAGUCUAACAUCUAUGCGAGUGUUUGGGUGUCAAACCCAUACGCGUAAUGAAAGUGAACGGAGGUGAGAGCCCUUUAGGGCGCAUCAUCGACCGAUCCUGAUGUCUUCGGAUGGAUUUGAGUAAGAGCAUAGCUGUUGGGACCCGAAAGAUGGUGAACUAUGCGUGAAUAGGGUGAAGCCAGAGGAAACUCUGGUGGAGGCUCGCAGCGGUUCUGACGUGCAAAUCGAUCGUCAAAUUUGCGUAUAGGGGCGAAAGACUAAUCGAACCAUUUACCGCAGCCAGCCUGAAAGGGCAGCGCGCACCAGCUCUAUGCUGGGGAUGGUAACAAUGUGGUGGCUAGGGAUAAUUCGCAGCCAACUCCUACGGGCGAUCACCGCCUACGGACGCAGUUCACAGACUAAAUGUGAGUGGGCUCUCGGAGCUUAAGUGAUAGUCGACCCCCCGCGAGAGCGGGUGGA
RNAcentral lists this ribosomal RNA (713 nucleotides) under uncultured Ascomycota. RNAcentral's name for it is "LSU rRNA". It matches the Rfam family "Eukaryotic large subunit ribosomal RNA", at positions 399 to 1431 of the family's 3401-position model. Lineage: Eukaryota; Fungi; Ascomycota. The record is from RNAcentral.